GGGUCGUUAGCUCAGCCGGUAGAGCAGCGGACUUUUAAUCCGUUGGUCGCCAGUUCGAUCCUGGCACGACCUACCA
RNAcentral lists this transfer RNA (76 nucleotides) under Nitrosomonas sp. RNAcentral's name for it is "tRNA-Lys". It matches the Rfam family "tRNA". Rfam says of the family: Transfer RNA (tRNA) molecules are approximately 80 nucleotides in length. Their secondary structure includes four short double-helical elements and three loops (D, anti-codon, and T loops). Further hydrogen bonds mediate the characteristic L-shaped molecular structure. tRNAs have two regions of fundamental functional importance: the anti-codon, which is responsible for specific mRNA codon recognition, and the 3' end, to which the tRNAs corresponding amino acid is attached (by aminoacyl-tRNA synthetases). tRNAs cope with the degeneracy of the genetic code in two manners: having more than one tRNA (with a specific anti-codon) for a particular amino acid; and 'wobble' base-pairing, i.e. permitting non-standard base-pairing at the 3rd anti-codon position. Lineage: Bacteria; Pseudomonadati; Pseudomonadota; Betaproteobacteria; Nitrosomonadales; Nitrosomonadaceae. The record is from RNAcentral. RNAcentral also lists the same sequence under 1 other name.